CCUACGGGUGGCUGCAGUGAGGAAUAUUGGUCAAUGGGCGUAAGCCUGAACCAGCCAUCCCGCGUGCAGGAAGAAGGCGCUAUGCGUCGUAAACUGCUUUUCCAGGGGAAGAAAACCCGCUACGUGUAGUGGCUUGCCGGUACCCUGGGAAUAAGCAUCGGCUAACUCCGUGCCAGCAGCCGCGGUAAUACGGAGGAUGCGAGCGUUAUCCGGAUUUAUUGGGUUUAAAGGGUGCGUAGGCGGAUUAGGUGAAAACCUUCAGCUUAACUGGGGAACUGACAAUGAUACUGUUAGUCUUGAGUACGGUCAAGGUAGGCGGAAUGUGUAAUGUAGCGGUGAAAUGCUUAGAUAUUACACAGAACACCGAUUGCGAAGGCAGCUUACUGGGCCAUUACUGACGCUGAUGCACGAAAGCGUGGGGAGCGAACAGGAUUAGAUACCCGGGUAGUC
This 450-nucleotide ribosomal RNA is filed under the name uncultured bacterium. RNAcentral describes it as "partial 16S ribosomal RNA". It matches the Rfam family "Bacterial small subunit ribosomal RNA", at positions 338 to 795 of the family's 1533-position model. The record is from RNAcentral.